GUGGGUAUAGCUCAGUGGUAGAGUGCAUGCUUAGCAUGUAUGAGGAACUGAGUUCAAUUCACAGUACCUCCA
Molecule: transfer RNA, 72 nt
Filed under: Camelus bactrianus (Bactrian camel)
Lineage: Eukaryota; Metazoa; Chordata; Mammalia; Artiodactyla; Camelidae
Also listed under: 2 other names
Rfam family: tRNA
About the family: Transfer RNA (tRNA) molecules are approximately 80 nucleotides in length. Their secondary structure includes four short double-helical elements and three loops (D, anti-codon, and T loops). Further hydrogen bonds mediate the characteristic L-shaped molecular structure. tRNAs have two regions of fundamental functional importance: the anti-codon, which is responsible for specific mRNA codon recognition, and the 3' end, to which the tRNAs corresponding amino acid is attached (by aminoacyl-tRNA synthetases). tRNAs cope with the degeneracy of the genetic code in two manners: having more than one tRNA (with a specific anti-codon) for a particular amino acid; and 'wobble' base-pairing, i.e. permitting non-standard base-pairing at the 3rd anti-codon position.
Source: Rfam by way of RNAcentral